UUUAACCCUUCUCAAAUAAAUUAUUGACUUUCUAUUAAAAAAAUAUAUAUAUUUUAGAACAGAAGAAAAAAAUUUACAUACGUAACUCCAAUAUCAAAAUCGGAAGAAAAAUGAUUCUGGGUUCAUGAAAAUGAUCAUUAUACAUUGAUCGUCCCUUCCAGAUUUUCUUUUGCCUCUAUUAGCUCAUAAAUUUUUUCACAGAUGGUGCAAGUAGAAGCCAUUGCUGCUUCUCAGAAGCAGCUUCUACAAAAGCCAACUUGCGCUUGGAUCAGAUGGGUACAAAACCAUCUUCUUCUUCUACUAGUUCUCUUGGCACAACCAGUCCUUGGUGGUCAGAUUGUCAAGUAUUUACCUGGUUUUGAUGGUGAACUUCCCUUCAAACUUGAAACAGGAUAUAUCAGCGUUGAUGAUUCGGAGUUGUUCUAUUAUUUCAUUGAAUCAGAAGGGAACCCUCAAGAAGACCCACUUUUUCUUUGGCUCACUGGUGGACCUGGCUGCACUUCUUUUAGUGGACUCCUUUAUGAAGUUGGUCCAAUGGAGUAUGACAUUGAUAACUACACUGGAGGGUUACCAAAAUUGAAAUAUUAUCCAUAUGCAAGGACGAAGACUGCUAGCAUGAUAUUUCUUGAUGCACCUGUUGGCACUGGUUUCUCUUAUGCAAGAACCCCUGGAGGUUGGCCUACAUCAGAUACAAAAUCAGCUGAACAGUCGUACCAGUUCCUCAGGAAGUGGUUGGUCGAACACCCACAAUUUCUCUCCGUUCAACUAUUUGUUGGCGGUGAUUCUUAUGCAGGCCUUACUGUCCCAUUGAUCACUAAAAAGAUAAUAGAUGGUAACAAAGAAAAAGCCAAGCCAUAUAUGAAUAUCAAAGGAUACUUGGUUGGAUGCCCAGGGACUGAUUCAGUUAUUGAUGGGAACUCAAGAGUAGAUUUUGCUCAUAGAAUGGCACUUAUAUCGGAUGAGAUCUAUGAGAAUGCGAAAAGAAGUUGCAAUGAGAACUAUAUAAAUGUAGAUCCAGCAAAUACGGCAUGCAUAACCGCUAUGGGUGCUAUACAAAAGUGUCUGAAAGAUCUGUCUGACAAAGAUAUUUUGAAACCCAAGUGCGAUUUAUCAUCCCAAGAUCAUCCAGAAGGCCCAGACCGAAGAUUUCUAAAAGAAGGUUCUUCAGAGUUCCUACUCUCGCCAUCAACGUUUCCAAAACCUUGGUGCACUACUUUGAAGCUUACACACAAUAGCAUUUGGGCAAACGAUGAUGGUGUUCAAGAAGCAUUACAUGUUCGGAAGGGAACUGUACCACGUUGGGAGAGAUGCAACAACAGCUUAUCAUACACCCAAGAUGUCUUGAGUGUUAUUGCUGUUCAUAAAGAACUAAGUAGAUCAUCCUUGGAAGUACUUGUAGAGAGUGAUGAGCGUCGCCGGCGAUUGGUUCAGCCUAGUGUUCCUUCAAUACCUCUAGUUUUAGUAGAUCAGAUGGCUCUUGUUGCAAGUUUUGGUUCUUGGAGUUCCAGCAGUUCUAUUACUUGUCAUCAUUGUGGUGCGCCUGGACAUGUCAAAGCUCGUUGCUUCAAACUUCAUCCUGAGUUGGGGCAACGCCAUUCCCGUCCUCAUGGUCCUACUACAUGUGGUUUUGGCUCUGCUCGUACUACUGCUUUGAUGGAAGUUACUCCUGCUUUUGAGCCUCCUAAUGUCCCUAAUCUACAGCAGUUAUAGACUCAGAUUGGUCAGCUUCAGGCCCAACUUGGGUCUCUCACCAUUGGUUCUCUUGGUCUAUCAUCUUCUACUGCCACCCUUGUUACAGGUACUUCUACUGCUUUCCAUGUUCGGUUUGCUAGUCCUUUAUGGAUUUUGGAUUCUGGGGCUAAUGAUCAUAUGACUGGACCUGAGUUCGAAGAGGAUUUUUGGCAGGGAAUAUGAGCGCGAUGGGCUAUACUACUUUGGGGAUCCACUGGACCAGCCUUCUUUGACUUUCGCUAGUUUUCAGGCUUCUAUUUUGCCUACUUUUAUAUUUUGUGUUUUUUCUGCUCAAACUUUAGAGUUAUGGCACGCUCGUAUGAGACAUGUUAACUUUCAAUAUUUAUGUCAACUUUUCCCGUUAUUAAAUAAAGAUUGUAAAGAUUCUAAAUUUCA
This is a non-coding RNA of Camellia sinensis, 2127 nucleotides long. The record is from RefSeq and is a predicted model, not a curated record. NCBI's taxonomy places the organism in Eukaryota, Viridiplantae, Streptophyta, Magnoliopsida, Ericales, Theaceae.